This 497-nucleotide ribosomal RNA is filed under the name uncultured bacterium. RNAcentral describes it as "partial 16S ribosomal RNA". It matches the Rfam family "Bacterial small subunit ribosomal RNA", at positions 28 to 507 of the family's 1533-position model. The record is from RNAcentral.
GAUGAACGCUGGCGGCGUGCCUAAUACAUGCAAGUCGAGCGAACAGACGAGGAGCUUGCUCCUUUGACGUUAGCGGCGGACGGGUGAGUAACAUGUGGAUAACCUACUUAUCAGACUGGUAUAAUUUCGGGAAACCGGAUCUAAUACCGUAUAAUAUCUUGAUCCGCAUGGUUCAAUAGUGAAAGACGGUUUUGCUGUCACUUCUAGAUGGUUCCCCGCUGCAUUAGCUAGUUGGUAAGGUAACGGCUUACCAAGGCAACGAUGCGUAGCCGACCUCAGGGGGUGAUCGGCCACACUGGAACUGAGACACGGUCCAGACUCCUACGGGAGGCAGCAGUAGCGAAUCUUCCGCAGUAGGCGGAAGCCUGGCGGAGCGACGCCGCGUGAGUGAUGAAGGUCUUCGGAUCGUAAAGCUCUGUUAUGAGGGGAAAACAAAUGUGGAAGUAACUAUGCACGUCUUGACGGUACCGAAUCAGAAAGCCACGGCUAACUACGUG